UACGUAGGUGGCAAGCGUUGUCCGGAUUUACUGGGCGUAAAGAGCGCGCAGGCGGUCGUGCAAGUCGCGUGUGAAAGCCCCCGGCUCAACUGGGGAGGGUCACGCGAUACUGCUCGACUUGAAGGCAGGAGAGGGAAGUGGAAUUCCCGGUGUAGUGGUGAAAUGCGUAGAGAUCGGCAGGAACACCCAGGGGGAAACCAGUCGACUGGGCAGCACCUGACGCUAAUGUGCGAGAGCGUGGGGAGCGAACCGG
This 253-nucleotide ribosomal RNA is filed under the name uncultured bacterium. RNAcentral's name for it is "partial 16S ribosomal RNA". It matches the Rfam family "Bacterial small subunit ribosomal RNA", at positions 524 to 776 of the family's 1533-position model. The record is from RNAcentral.